RNAcentral lists this long non-coding RNA (842 nucleotides) under Neodiprion lecontei (redheaded pine sawfly). RNAcentral's name for it is "uncharacterized LOC124294522". The record is from RNAcentral. Lineage: Eukaryota; Metazoa; Arthropoda; Insecta; Hymenoptera; Diprionidae.
UGUUCUGCUGCAAUAUUUUCGCAAUAUGAAAUAUUGGGCGCAGCGCGAGUCGUCGGAUAGUCCCAGAAAUAAAAAAUCAGGAAUCAAGAAACGCUGAGUGUAGAUUAAAUUCCGGAACAUCACUAUUGUGCACUGAGAAAAAUUUCAUUUGUUACAGUAACUAGAAAAAUUGUGUAAAACAGAUUUCGUAACAACAAAAAAGGAAGGACUGGCGUAAGGGACGAGAAAAUAAAUUUUUUUAUCACUACCAAUGAAUUCAGUGCAAGCCUUUUUAUUCGAGUAUUCUUUAUAUAAACGAUAGUUCAGCAGAAACGAAACGGAGUCGCACAGAAUUUGGAUACAAAAACUCGGACAAUCGGUAAACUCUUAAGGUUGAAUCAGUUCAAAAUAGUUUCCGGAUUCCAUUAAGAUGGCUUCUUACGGAGAUUUGGUGACCUUUCAAAAGUCUUGGGCUUCUAACGAGAUAAUAAAAAGUUAGACUCGAGUAAAACUCACUAAAGUUCUUGAGGAAGAUCGAAAGAAGACGAAAUUUCACAGUUUCGAACCGCGGCUGAGACAUUUGGCAACGUCGCGCAUACGCCAAGACCAUACAGAAUGGACCGGGUAGUCGAGUAAAGCAAAAGAGGUGGAGGACACUGUGUCGUUUGUAAGAGAAAGACGAAAUUCUCUAUUCGCAGAGUAAACGUUGCCACGUUGAAAAGCAGCUUUGCCACAUAGUAUUCCAUACCCUGUGUGAAAUAACUCAACGGCAUCAUAAUACUGACUUCAAAGAAUCGUAACUGCAGUGUAAUAAAUAUUAUUUUUGUUGUGACAAAGAAAUGAAAUUAAAUUAAAUAUUUCAA